GACGAACGCUGGCGGCGUGCCUAAUACAUGCAAGUUGAGCGCUGAAGGUUGGUGCUUGUACCAACUGGAUGAGCAGCGAACGGGUGAGUAACGCGUGGGGAAUCUGCCUUUGAGCGGGGGACAACAUUUGGAAACGAAUGCUAAUACCGCAUAAAAACUUUAAACACAAGUUUUAAGUUUGAAAGAUGCAAUUGCAUCACUCAAAGAUGAUCCCGCGUUGUAUUAGCUAGUUGGUGAGGUAAAGGCUCACUAAGGCGAUGAUACAUAGCCGACCUGAGAGGGUGAUCGGCCGCAUUGGGACUGAGACACGGCCCAAACUCCUACGGGAGGCAGCAGUAGGGAAUCUUCGGCAAUGGACGAAAGUCUGACCGAGAAACGCCGCGUGAGUGAAGAGGGUUUUCGGAUCGUAAAACUCUGUUGGUAGAGAAGAACGUUGGUGAGAGUGGAAAGCUCAUCAAGUGACGGUAACUACCCAGAAAGGGACGGCUAACUACGUG
This 497-nucleotide ribosomal RNA is filed under the name uncultured bacterium. RNAcentral's name for it is "partial 16S ribosomal RNA". It matches the Rfam family "Bacterial small subunit ribosomal RNA", at positions 28 to 507 of the family's 1533-position model. The record is from RNAcentral.